This 66-nucleotide transfer RNA is filed under the name Thenus orientalis. Its description in RNAcentral is "tRNA-Cys". Lineage: Eukaryota; Metazoa; Arthropoda; Malacostraca; Decapoda; Scyllaridae. The record is from RNAcentral.
GGCUUAAUAGUUUAAGGGAUAAGACACUAAAUUGCAAGUUUAGAGAUGUAAGGAGUACUUAGGCUU